This 73-nucleotide transfer RNA is filed under the name Succinea erythrophana. Its description in RNAcentral is "tRNA-Ser". Lineage: Eukaryota; Metazoa; Mollusca; Gastropoda; Stylommatophora; Succineidae. The record is from RNAcentral.
AAAAAAUUUUAAUUGAAGCUGCUAACUUUGAUUAGGGGAUUUCCACUCUCCAAAAAACUAUUUUGAUAUCUUA